RNAcentral lists this ribosomal RNA (552 nucleotides) under soil bacterium A35. RNAcentral's name for it is "bacterial SSU rRNA". It matches the Rfam family "Bacterial small subunit ribosomal RNA", at positions 319 to 881 of the family's 1533-position model. The record is from RNAcentral. RNAcentral also lists the same sequence under 1 other name.
CUGAGACACGGCCCAGACUCCUACGGGAGGCAGCAGUGGGGAAUAUUGCACAAUGGGCGGAAGCCUGAUGCAGCGACGCCGCGUGAGGGAUGACGGCCUUCGGGUUGUAAACCUCUUUCAGUAGGGAAGAAGCGAAAGUGACGGUACCUGCAGAAGAAGCGCCGGCUAACUACGUGCCAGCAGCCGCGGUAAUACGUAGGGCGCAAGCGUUAUCCGGAUUUAUUGGGCGUAAAGAGCUCGUAGGCGGUUUGUCGCGUCUGCCGUGAAAGUCCGAGGCUCAACCUCGGAUCUGCGGUGGGUACGGGCAGACUAGAGUGAUGUAGGGGAGACUGGAAUUCCUGGUGUAGCGGUGAAAUGCGCAGAUAUCAGGAGGAACACCGAUGGCGAAGGCAGGUCUCUGGGCAUUUACUGACGCUGAGGAGCGAAAGCAUGGGGAGCGAACAGGAUUAGAUACCCUGGUAGUCCAUGCCGUAAACGUUGGGCACUAGGUGUGGGGGACAUUCCACGUUUUCCGCGCCGUAGCUAACGCAUUAAGUGCCCCGCCUGGGGAGU